CCAGAGUCUACGUAGCUCUCCAGAGCUAGGCCUGAUCAGUAACUUUUUUUAAUAAUAAAUAUGCUCAAUCCGCUUAACACCUAUAAAAACGGAAACCCAUGCCAAAAAAAGAAAACCCAAAAAGAAAACCCAAAAGAGUAUAUAAAUACAAAUUUCCACACAAUAGAAUCACAAUUCCCCCUUCACCAGCCAAAGAGAAAACUAAAUCUGAUUCCUUGUACAAAUAGUGUC
RNAcentral lists this unclassified non-coding RNA (231 nucleotides) under Hevea brasiliensis (rubber tree). Lineage: Eukaryota; Viridiplantae; Streptophyta; Magnoliopsida; Malpighiales; Euphorbiaceae. The record is from RNAcentral.